GGCAAUCCGGCCUUGUUCUCGCAAGCGACAUCUUCCCCAACGGUUGUCGCCUUUCUCCCAGCACCGACGUGCCAAUCCUUGUUCUCGCAAGUGUCGUCUUCCCCAAAGGUUGUCGAGCUGAGAGGUAAAAAGAAAAGAAAAUAUUAAAACAUGAGGUUUUAUCAACACUUAUCAUAAAACAAACAAAUGAUAACCGUAAUAUUGAUAAGUAUAUGUUAAAUAUUAUAAAAAUAAUAGGUAUAUUUGUUAAAAUAUUAUUAAAAUAAUGUGAGCGAUGAUGAUUAGAUAUACUUACAUGUUGAUUUGUAGAAUUAAAUAAAUUAUAGAUGAUGUUAUACGCUAGCAUGAGUUUAAAUAUAUAAAUAUUGCUUUUAUCUGUAGUGAUUGGGCCACGUGUCCUCUCUCACAUGGUAGAUAAAUCUGGAGAACACCAAAAGGGGAAAAAAUGAUACCAAGAGUUGGGCAGUUGUGCGUCGAGUGCGAAGGAAAAAACAGGGUUGUGGGUCCAAUCAAUGGCGUGCCCACAUAUAACUUACCGGUGUCACAGGACACCGGGUAAAAUUGUUAAAUUCUAACUAAUUUAUGCUAUUUUGAUUAGUAUACUAGUGAAUAAUUAGAUAACUACUAUGUAGUGGACCUCGAGUAAUGUAGUGGACCCCGGGUAAUUUUUAUUCUAGAUUCGCCGCUGGCUCCAAUCCUCCCUUGCAGAUGAAAGGAUAAUCUAAAAGGAUCGAUUAGGCAAUCAGCAAAUGCCUCUGUCAAUGGAGCCAAUGGUGGCCACCUGCUCAAAAUGUAUACGUUCGCUGUGUGUCUAGGAGUACGAGGGAAGAGCAUGGCUGUGGCAGCUCCAGUCCUCUCACGCAGAGGAAGGAUAAUCUGGAAGUAUCUAUAUAUCAGGGGAAGGAGCAAAUGCCUCUGUCAAUGGAGCUCACUUGCUCUACAUGUACAUGUUCAAAGAUAGAGUAUUCUAUAGUACAUUUGCAAAAAAUGUUAGAAUGCAUAUACAACUACUCAUAUUCAUAUAUAUCUCUAUAAGUAUUUUCGAAAUAUUGAGCUGCAUAUCUUAAAUGAAAAAAAAAACUAUUUUAUCUCUUCGAACCAAUUCAAUGGACACUACUAAAAAAAUCUAUCAUGAGUUAAUAACUUAAUUGUAAUUUAAAAAAAACAAAGGAAUAACUAAUGGCAUGGAUGGAAAAAGGGAGAAAAUUUGAUGAUUUUCUCAACAAUAUGAUCUAUUACGUUAAACUGGAACUCAAAAAAUUCCAUUCAACUAAGAUUUUUUUAAACUUUUAUGAACAAUGUGCUAAUUAAUAACACAAAAAUAAUAUAUACGGGCUAUAAAUCAUGCGCGCCAGGUGCGCAUGAUUUUCUAGUUUUAGUGGAAAUGGGGCCUACAAGAGAAGAAAAUAUUGUUUUUUUUGUUGUGUUCAACUUAUGAAAAGUAUUAUUAGGCGAUUGGAAAUUGGAAUGACAGUUAGUAUGACUUACGGAUGUUUUUGUUCAAUAAUAUAAUGAAUUAUUAUAUUCACUAUUGCAAAAAAAAAAGUUAUGAGGGCCUCUAUCUUUAUUUCACCCAAGGGCUUCCAAGAAGUUAGGACUGGCCCUGAAUAAAACCUUCAUUGGAAUGAAUGGAUGAAUUUUCAGUGUUUGUUUUGUGAGAAUCGAACUAAUUUCGAUGAUGAUCCUGUGAAAUCUUAAACUAUUUUCUCACUAAUUACUUCAGGCUGUGUUUAGUUCACAUCAAAAUUAGAAGUUUGGUUGAAAUUGGAACGAUGUGACGGAAAAGUUAGAAAUUUGUGUGUGUAGAAAAGUUUUGAUGUGAUAAAAAAAUUGGAAGUUUGAAGAAAAACCUUUGGAACUAAACACGGCCUCAAUCUUCGUAAAAUUUCUCCGAAAUUCGUCAAGUCCAAAGGCUGCAUGCCUUGCUGAAUUCUGUCCACACAACAAACGCUGGUCUCGUGUCAUCUCCACAUCGCCGGAG
RNAcentral lists this long non-coding RNA (1981 nucleotides) under Oryza sativa (Asian cultivated rice). Its description in RNAcentral is "long non-coding RNA (OSAT_LNC001075)". The record is from RNAcentral. Lineage: Eukaryota; Viridiplantae; Streptophyta; Magnoliopsida; Poales; Poaceae.